UCUACGGGCGGCAGCAGUGAGGAAUAUUGGUCAAUGGGCGGAAGCCUGAACCAGCCAAGUCGCGUGAGGGAAUAAGGCCCUACGGGUCGUAAACCUCUUUUGCCGGGGAGCAAGGUCGGGGACGUGUCCCGGCCCGGAGAGUCCCCGGAGAAAAAGCAUCGGCUAACUCCGUCCCAGCAGCCGCGGUAAUAGGGAGGAUGCGAGCGUUAUCCGGAUUUAUUGGGUUUAAAGGGUGCGUAGGCGGGCGUUUAAGUCAGCGGGAAAAGUUCGGGGCUCAACCCCGUCCGGCCAUUGAAACUGGGGGCCUUGAGUGGGCGAGAAGAAGGCGGAAUGCGUGGUGUAGCGGUGAAAUGCAUAGAUAUCACGCAGAACCCCGAUUGCGAAGGCAGCCUUCCGGAGCCCGACUGACGCUGAGGCACGAAAGUGCGGGGAUCGAACAGGAUUAGAUACCCGUGUAGUC
This 460-nucleotide ribosomal RNA is filed under the name uncultured bacterium. RNAcentral's name for it is "partial 16S ribosomal RNA". It matches the Rfam family "Bacterial small subunit ribosomal RNA", at positions 338 to 795 of the family's 1533-position model. The record is from RNAcentral.